CUACUAGAAAGUAUCAAGUGGCGACCGGGACGUCGCCCGUUCUGCUCCGCCGCGGGUGAGCACCCCCAAAACCGGACGGAUCACGUGCAUGGAUCCAGGCCAGGAGAAAGGCAGUAGUCCUCCAUUUGCUGUUUUGACAAAUGUGCUGCGGACGGGUGGAUGAGGAAACAGAGUGGUACUGUGAAGCUCUUUUAGGGGUAAGACGGUUGUGUUUUGUGGGGACUUUAGGCAAGGCAAGUACUUCCUGUUGUUCGGAGGGGGUUGAGGGUUCAAAUCGUUGACGCUUCGCUACGGAGGUCGUAUCUGUGGGUUCCAUGCGGCAUCUUAGGUUGGUUCGCAACAUGAGGGCACAAAGUGACCCUUGGUUCGCAGAAUAUUUACUGCACAUUAGCGGUGGAACAGAGGAGGUUAAUUCCGACGGUGAGGUGAAACUACCGGAUGAGAUUUGCGUACCGUAUACUGGGAAGGCAAGUAAUCUUGAUACAUUAAUUAAUUGCAUAUUUCCAAAUAUCAAUGAGAGCAUGUUCAAGAAAGACUACAUCACAUUGAGAGCUAUAUUAUCUACCAGGAAUGAUUGGGUCGAUAAGAUUAAUAUGAAGAUGAUAGGCACUUUCCAAGGUGGUGAGAUGGAGUACCAUAGUUUUGAUGUUGCAAUAGAUGAUCCUUAUAAUUAUUAUCUAGCGGAGUUUCUUAGUACUCUGACCCCAAGCGGGCACCCCCCUCACGU
Molecule: long non-coding RNA, 727 nt
Organism: Panicum hallii
Lineage: Eukaryota; Viridiplantae; Streptophyta; Magnoliopsida; Poales; Poaceae
Exons: 3
Source: RefSeq, a predicted model, not a curated record